GGUAAUAGCUCAGUGGUAGAGCACAUGCUUAGCAUGCAUGAGGUCCUGGGUUCAAUCCCCAGUACUUCCA
RNAcentral lists this transfer RNA (70 nucleotides) under Camelus bactrianus (Bactrian camel). It matches the Rfam family "tRNA". From Rfam's summary of the family: Transfer RNA (tRNA) molecules are approximately 80 nucleotides in length. RNAcentral also lists the same sequence under 2 other names. The record is from Rfam by way of RNAcentral. Lineage: Eukaryota; Metazoa; Chordata; Mammalia; Artiodactyla; Camelidae.